UACGGGAGGCAGCAGUAGGGAAUCUUCCGCAAUGGACGAAAGUCUGACGGAGCAACGCCGCGUGAGUGAUGAAGGUUUUCGGAUCGUAAAACUCUGUUGUUAGGGAAGAACAAGUACGAGAGUAACUGCUCGUACCUUGACGGUACCUAACCAGAAAGCCACGGCUAACUAC
RNAcentral lists this ribosomal RNA (172 nucleotides) under uncultured bacterium. RNAcentral's name for it is "partial 16S ribosomal RNA". It matches the Rfam family "Bacterial small subunit ribosomal RNA", at positions 340 to 504 of the family's 1533-position model. The record is from RNAcentral.